AUGCUCUCGCAGGCCCAACUUCUCUGGAUACUAGUGCUUUGGAUUCAGGACUCCUAUGGCCAAAUUGUUUUGACUCAGACUCCAGAAUCCCUGUCAGUGUCCCCUGGACAGAGAGUCACCAUCAACUGCAAAGCCAGUACCAGCAUUAGCAACUACUUAGCCUGGUUCCAACAGAAAUCAGGACAAGCUCCUAAGCUUCUUAUCUACGAUUCUACUAACCGUGCCUCCGGGAUCCCAGACCGGUUCAGCGGCAGUGGGUCUGGGACUGAUUUCACUCUCACCAUCAGCAGCAUUGAAGCUGAAGAUGCUGGAGAUUAUUACUGUCAGCAACGUAACAGCUUCCCUCUCACAGUGAUACAGACCAUUACAAAAAGCUCCCUGAAAAGAGAGAGAGCUCGCUGCUUACUGUUUCUCACAGCUGUGACCAGGAGGGAGAAUUUUAUCAAUGAAUGCAAAUGA
Non-coding RNA from Mauremys mutica (yellowpond turtle), 459 nucleotides. The record is from the annotation of a RefSeq genome assembly. Lineage: Eukaryota; Metazoa; Chordata; Testudines; Geoemydidae.